AAAAGUUGAAAGUAAAUACAUGUGUCCUAUUGCUUUUCUUUCAAAAUCCAAACUGGUUAAACAUCAAAAUAGAAGAAAACUUCAACCUAGUCAAAAAAUGAAUAGUAAAAGAGGAUGGACUCUUUAAUGUGGGCCAGAGUACAAUUGGGCCAAAAGAAAAAUUUUCAAGUGACAAAGUACAGAGAUAACAAACCUAUUUCCCAACCAUCUAAAACACCUUUGUUUCUACUAAUUUCAGCAUUAGAUCAAUGGAAAAAGAUAAAGAAGCAAACCCUGUAGAUACCUUUAAAUCAAUCUUUCUGUUUUCAACAGAAGUUACAGUUGAAUCAAAUCAUUGGUUAAUAAAUUCAUUAGAAACAACGAAUUUAGAUUUGGCUAAAUCGUCAUCACCAACUCGAACAGGGAGACCGAAAUCUUGUCAUUUGAAACAUGUUCUACUCAACUACUGCUGCCUUUGCCAUUGAAUGUUUCAUGGUUUCCACCAUCACUGUGAUGGUGUCUCCGCCGUAUGUUGACUUAAUCUUAAAUGUGCAAGUGAAUAAAAAUUACCAACAAAUUCAAGCGAAGUAUUAUCGGAAUUUGUGACAUAGGACGAUUUGGAGAGAAGAUAUAUGCUUAAAGCCUAAAGGUUACUCCGUGUUUG
Molecule: long non-coding RNA, 643 nt
Filed under: Olea europaea (common olive)
Lineage: Eukaryota; Viridiplantae; Streptophyta; Magnoliopsida; Lamiales; Oleaceae
Description: long non-coding RNA (OEUR_LNC004438)
Source: RNAcentral